Molecule: ribosomal RNA, 1002 nt
Filed under: Syzygites megalocarpus
Lineage: Eukaryota; Fungi; Mucoromycota; Mucoromycetes; Mucorales; Rhizopodaceae
Description: SSU rRNA
Rfam family: Eukaryotic small subunit ribosomal RNA
Source: RNAcentral
AACUGCGAAUGGCUCAUUAAAUCAGUUAUGAUCUACGUGACAAAUUCUUUACUACUUGGAUAACCGUGGUAAUUCUAGAGCUAAUACAUGCAAAAAAGCCCUGACUUACGAAGGGGUGCACUUAUUAGAUAAAACCAACGCGGGGUAAAACCUGUCUUUUGGUGAAUCAUAAUAAUUAAGCGGAUCGCAUGGCAUUACGCUGGCGACGGUCCACUCGAUUUUCUGCCCUAUCAUGGUUGAGAUUGUAAGAUAGAGGCUUACAAUGCCUACAACGGGUAACGGGGAAUUAGGGUUCGAUUCCGGAGAGGGAGCCUGAGAAACGGCUACCACAUCCAAGGAAGGCAGCAGGCGCGCAAAUUACCCAAUCCCGACACGGGGAGGUAGUGACAAUACAUAACAAUGCAGGGCUUUUAAAGUCUUGCAAUUGGAAUGAGUACAAUUUAAAUCCCUUAACGAGGAUCAAUUGGAGGGCAAGUCUGGUGCCAGCAGCCGCGGUAAUUCCAGCUCCAAUAGCGUAUAUUAAAGUUGUUGCAGUUAAAACGUCCGUAGUCAAACUUUAGUCAUACCGGCGCAGUGGCCUGGUCUUCAUUGACUAGGUUCGUUGCUGCCGGAGACUCCAUGUUCAUUGAUCUCUAGCUUCGGUUAGGGCUUUUUUGAACAAUUACCAUGAGCAAAUCAGAGUGUUUAAAGCAGGCUUUUAAGCUUGAAUGUGUUAGCAUGGAAUAAUGAAAUAUGACUUUAGUCCUAUUUUCGUUGGUUUAGGUACUUCAGUAAUGAUGAAUAGAAACGGUUAGGGGCAUUUGUAUUUGGUCGCUAGAGGUGAAAUUCUUGGAUUGACCGAAGACAAACUACUGCGAAAGCAUUUGACCCGGGACGUUUUCAUUGAUCAAGGUCUAAAGUUAAGGGAUCGAAGACGAUUAGAUACCGUCGUAGUCUUAACCACAAACUAUGCCGACUAGAGAUUGGGCGUGUUUAUUAUGACUCGCUCAGCAUCUUAGCGAA